CACUUAUAAAGUUUUUUCUGUGGCAUACCCAAAGUUUGGGGGACAGGGGAUACCAAUUUCCUUUGCCUGCCUUGGGAUGCCUACAUGU
Molecule: small nucleolar RNA, 88 nt
Filed under: Tupaia belangeri (northern tree shrew)
Lineage: Eukaryota; Metazoa; Chordata; Mammalia; Scandentia; Tupaiidae
Description: Small nucleolar RNA SNORA67 (ENSTBEG00000021020.1)
Source: RNAcentral